GGGGUUGUGGCUCAGUGGUAGAGCUGCUCUACCGCCUUGCAUGUGCAAGACCCUGGGUUCGAUCCUCAGCACCACA
Molecule: transfer RNA, 76 nt
Filed under: Marmota monax (woodchuck)
Lineage: Eukaryota; Metazoa; Chordata; Mammalia; Rodentia; Sciuridae
Description: tRNA.Ala
Source: RNAcentral